Molecule: long non-coding RNA, 213 nt
Filed under: Lathyrus oleraceus (garden pea)
Lineage: Eukaryota; Viridiplantae; Streptophyta; Magnoliopsida; Fabales; Fabaceae
Description: Pisum sativum (pea) long non-coding RNA (PSAT_LNC034024)
Source: RNAcentral
CUUACCCAUGUAUCAGAUGACAUACUCCUUGAAUGGCUUAGAAUAAGGCAAUGGACACACAUUCAAAGUAACAUUUACAUCAAAUCCAUGUAGCAGAUGUACUCAAAAGGAAUCUCAAUACUUGCUUCAGAUGAAAGUUCAAUUCUCAAUGACUGGCUCCAAAAUAGUUGGCAUUGGCCAAGUCUUUUUUGCAUAGGGAAUGUUGCCUAAUUC